Triplophysa dalaica is the source of this 681-nucleotide long non-coding RNA. RefSeq lists it as uncharacterized. Lineage: Eukaryota; Metazoa; Chordata; Actinopteri; Cypriniformes; Nemacheilidae. The transcript has 3 exons. The record is from RefSeq and is a predicted model, not a curated record.
UCGGCCGUUACCUUGACAGCGGUAACAAGGCUGAAACCACACAAUAAAAUACGGAAAAUGAUGACUUUGAAUGUGAUUUUUUGGUGUUAUGAGGAGAAAAUGACAACAUACAAUUAUGAAAAGGUCAAAGCAUCAUCAUCAAAGAGUUUUGAACGUGUCAUAAGAGACGCACGCAGCCCAUAUAUGGUAAACCGGAAGCUAAGACUUCAGCAGUUGUUGGCUUGUCGUGUGAGAACUGUGUUUUGGUAUCAUUACUUUGGAAACAUACCUGAAGAAACAAAUGGACUGCAAUACCUUAACAAAAGAGGAGUGUGGCACCCUGACUUUCUGAAGAACAUCAGUGAAUUUGGGUGGAUAGGACACCUGGACCUGCCACGGUGGAGGACUCGCUCCAUUCUCAGGCCCAUCCACACACUGACCUGAGCAGACAUUAUUUUGUUAAAAUGUCAGCAACUACUGAUAUUCUACCAUCAACUCAUGGAAAUCUACAGACAUUAGGCCUGUUAACAUUCUGUUAAUUAACAUUUAAAACUUAGUAGCUGAAUAUUAAGGACAGUGAUCUGAACAGUAAAAAAAAACGCUUCUAUAUAAAAAAAGGAAAAGUACACUUAAACUCUGUGAUAAUCUUUUAAUAUAAUAUAAUAAUAAUGAUGGUGUCAUUGAGUGUAGGUGUCUUGUAGU